GCCUGCCCACUGAUAUUUUAUUGAAUGGCCGCAGUAAUUUGACUGUGCAAAGGUAGCAUAAUCAUUAGUUUUUUAAUUGAAAGCUAGAAUGAAUGGUUGGACGAAAUGAAAUCUGUCUCUAUUUAAAUUAUUUUAGAAUUUAAUUUUUAAGUUAAAAAGCUUAAAUAUUUAUAAAAGACGAGAAGACCCUAUAGAUCUUUAUAUUUAUUUAUAUAAUUUUAUUAAAUAAUAUUAUAUUUUUUAUAUGGGUAAUUAUUUUAUUGGGGUAAUAAAAAGAUUAGAAAAAUUCUUUUUUUUAUAUUAUAUAGAUUAAUAAAUAUUUGAUCCAUUUUUUUUGAUUAUAAGAAUAAGUUACCUUAGGGAUAACAGCGUAAUUUUUUUUGAGAGUUCAUAUCGAUAAAAAAGUUUGCGACCUCGAUGUUGGAUUAAAAGUUAUUUUAGGUGCAGAAGUCUAAAUAUUUGGUCUGUUCGACCAUUAAAUUUUU
Molecule: ribosomal RNA, 485 nt
Filed under: Copelatus sp. MB053
Lineage: Eukaryota; Metazoa; Arthropoda; Insecta; Coleoptera; Dytiscidae
Description: partial 16S ribosomal RNA
Rfam family: Bacterial large subunit ribosomal RNA (bases 362-485)
Source: RNAcentral